UACGUAGGGGGGCAAGCGUUGUCCGGAAUCAUUGGGCGUAAAGAGCGUGUAGGCGGCUCGGUAAGUCCGCUGUGAAAGUCCAGGGCUCAACCCUGGAAUGCCGGUGGAAACUGUCGAGCUAGAGUCCGGAAGAGGCGAGUGGAAUUCCUGGUGUAGCGGUGAAAUGCGCAGAUAUCAGGAGGAACACCAUGGCGAAGGCAGCUCGCUGGGGACGGUACUGACGCUGAGACGCGAAAAGCGUGGGGGAGCAAAACAGG
This 257-nucleotide ribosomal RNA is filed under the name uncultured bacterium. Its description in RNAcentral is "partial 16S ribosomal RNA". It matches the Rfam family "Bacterial small subunit ribosomal RNA", at positions 524 to 776 of the family's 1533-position model. The record is from RNAcentral.